RNAcentral lists this ribosomal RNA (470 nucleotides) under Bifidobacterium animalis. RNAcentral's name for it is "bacterial SSU rRNA". It matches the Rfam family "Bacterial small subunit ribosomal RNA", at positions 202 to 676 of the family's 1533-position model. The record is from RNAcentral. Lineage: Bacteria; Bacillati; Actinomycetota; Actinomycetes; Bifidobacteriales; Bifidobacteriaceae.
AAUGCUUUUGCGGCAUGGGAUGGGGUCGCGUCCUAUCAGCUUGUUGGCGGGGUGAUGGCCCACCAAGGCGUUGACGGGUAGCCGGCCUGAGAGGGUGACCGGCCACAUUGGGACUGAGAUACGGCCCAGACUCCUACGGGAGGCAGCAGUGGGGAAUAUUGCACAAUGGGCGCAAGCCUGAUGCAGCGACGCCGCGUGCGGGAUGGAGGCCUUCGGGUUGUAAACCGCUUUUGUUCAAGGGCAAGGCACGGUUUCGGCCGUGUUGAGUGGAUUGUUCGAAUAAGCACCGGCUAACUACGUGCCAGCAGCCGCGGUAAUACGUAGGGUGCGAGCGUUAUCCGGAUUUAUUGGGCGUAAAGGGCUCGUAGGCGGUUCGUCGCGUCCGGUGUGAAAGUCCAUCGCCUAACGGUGGAUCUGCGCCGGGUACGGGCGGGCUGGAGUGCGGUAGGGGAGACUGGAAUUCCCGGUGU